GACUUGAAAGAUGGUGAACUAUGCAUAAUACAUGAGUGGGACGAAGCCAGAGAAAACUAUGGUGAGAGCCCGCAACAAUACCGACGUGCAAAUCGUUUGUAUGACUUGAGUAUAAGAGCGAAAGAUUAAUCGAAUCGUCUACUAGUUGG
This 149-nucleotide ribosomal RNA is filed under the name Prunus dulcis (almond). RNAcentral describes it as "rRNA LSU_rRNA_eukarya". It matches the Rfam family "Eukaryotic large subunit ribosomal RNA", at positions 813 to 954 of the family's 3401-position model. The record is from Rfam by way of RNAcentral. Lineage: Eukaryota; Viridiplantae; Streptophyta; Magnoliopsida; Rosales; Rosaceae.